RNAcentral lists this long non-coding RNA (5197 nucleotides) under Heterocephalus glaber (naked mole-rat). RNAcentral describes it as "lncRNA (ENSHGLG00000037552.1)". The record is from RNAcentral. Lineage: Eukaryota; Metazoa; Chordata; Mammalia; Rodentia; Bathyergidae.
UUUGGUUUGGAAUAAUAACUGCAGAAAAUAUGUGCUUGGGAAACAGUGGUUUUCUGGCCGUUGCCAGUUUCUUCCAUUACUGUUGGAACAGUGACUUGAGCCCUCACAUAUACAGCUCUUUCAUUCCACUGACAUCAGUGUAAAUGGCAUUUAACUUGGGGUUCCUUGUGCAGAAAUUGGACUACAAAUAAUUAAUUGUUCUGUUAGGGGGAGUUGAGGCUUACUGAAUUCAAAUGAACUUCCAGGCAGUAUCUGAAAGCCUGUAAGGAGCUUGACUGCACCAUGGGAUGUUUGUCCAACACCUACUAAUUGGGAGACCCAUCCUGGGGCCUAGCUUGAAUGUGUUGGGAAGCACCAGCAGUGUCACUCUAGCCAGUGUACUGGAGCACCCUCAUAAGUCUCCUUCUACUCAAUGAGGGUUUAUUUAGCACUUACUCUUUUGCUAAAGACCCCGAUAGCCCAAAGAGCUGGGCAAGUGACAAAAUGCAGAGCACUAUCAGCAAGAGUUCAUAUUCACUGCAGCUACACCCUGAAAGGGGAACCCUUAUCCUCCUGGAUGCAAUUCCCUGCACUGUCCAGCGUUGUCUAAACACAGUCCAGGUUCACCAUUUUGGGGAGACCCACAACUGACAAAGCACUGACACUGGGGGUUUUUCAUGUUGAAUCCCAGCAUUAUUGACCUGCCAGGCUGGGCAGAUUCCCAUGACACCAAACCCAGGCAAGCAUUUCUGUGCAUGAGCCUGAUAAUAUAUAAUUAGGCAAAUAUUGCAGGAGUUAUGUAAAAAUAAACGAGGGUUGGAGAUGUAGCUCAGUGGUAGAGCACUUGCCUAGCAGAUGUGAGGCCUUGGGUUCAAUCCUCAGCACUAAAAAAUAAAUAAAAUAAAAAGGGAGAGAAAAGGAAGUAACAGAUAAUCAUAUAAAUUUGGGAAAUUGAGCUCAAUAAAGAUAAGCAAGUUGUUUUCUUUUUUUAAACAGGAUUUAUCGGGACAUGUAAUAUGCCACCAGGCAUUGUGAAUGUCCAAAAAUCUAUACAGUAUUUUUUCACACAUUAUUUGACUAUAAGACUCAUUUUCUCAUGAUCCUGUUGGGUGAAGAGUAUUCUAUUAGCAACUUUGUGACAUACUGCUACUCAAAGCUUGACCAUCAGAACAGGGUCAUUCAAAGGAUGACUGGUUACUCAUGGGCAAUGAGCUAAGAACAGAAAUAACACAAAGCUUUUAGAAACUUUUAUAGCUUUCAUAACUUGACAGAAUAACUUCUAUAUCUUUUGGAUCUAAUCACAAAGUAGUAGGGCUUACAUUUCUUUGUUUUAUUAACUUCAUUUUCUUAGAAAUUAAUUUUUAAGGUACUUUAUUUUUUUAAAAUCCAUCUGCAGCACACUGAAAGUUUUAAAAACUGGUCUUUCCCCUCAUAAUUUGAGAAUGUCUUCAUUAACAUGAAACCCCCAACCAGACCUUGCUGGCAUCAAGAAUGGAGCGCAAAGGUUAUCCCAAAGUCCAGACUACCUGCCCUUGCAUGGAAGCCAUCCUGGCCUUUGAUUGCUUCUUCAUCCAUUAUAACCUUGUCAUUUUUACACAGAUUCUCAGACUCAAGUUCCUUGCAGUGGAUCAUUUGCUCCUGCAUCCAUAAGAGGACGGUAGUAUCAGGAGCCCUUGCCUGGAGAGAGGGUCCCGAGAAAGAAGGGACCUUGACUACUCUGGGAGAAGUCCUUCCCUGUACCCAGGACAGAUUCGUGACAGCUCAGUUUGACUUCACCACCUCUGUGGCUUCCCACCACUGUCUGUGGCUGCACCCAAAUGCUGGCGCCUGAGGACACCCCGUCUGCCUGCUGAGGGGCCUCGGCAUCUUACCAGAGAGCACCUGUGUUUGUCAGGGUUUCCAGAAAAGCAGAGCUGAGGGGGUAAGUGCACAUAUAUACACAUCCCCAUACACACAGAGGAAAUGCACACAUACACACGCACAUGCACAAACCCAGACACACUCAGGAGACAUACACAGAGGAGGUACACACACAUAUUCACACACAUGAAGAGGCUACAUAUACACAUGGGAUAUAUACACAUACACAGGAUAUACACACACGUAUAUAUACAUGCACAGGGUACACACACAUAUAUACAUGGCAUGUGUAUAUACAUAUGUAUGUAUACACACAUACAAGCUGAGAUUUAUAUUGGGAUCAGCUCAUGUGAUUCUGGAGUCUGGGAAGCCCCACCAUCUUCCAUCUGUGAGCAGAUAACCCAGGAAAGCCAGUUGUGUCAUUCAGUCCCCGUCUACAGGCCUGAGAGCCAGGGGCUUAUGGUGUAAGCCCCACUGCAAGGGCAGGAAGUGAGAUGAGGUCCCAGCUCAUGCAGUGAGGCAGGAAGAAAGGGGACCAAUUCUUCCUUCCUCUGCCUUUUGUUCUAUCAGGCCCAUAUGGUGGGGAUGAGUGCACCACCUCUCUUCAGUCCAUGGGUUUGAAUGUUGACUCAUCUACCAGAAUCCUCACAGGUGUACUUGGAAAUAGUGUUUAACCAAAACUGACCACUUAGGAGCCAGUCAGGAUGAGGUACAGAAUGAACUAUCACACCUGCCCCACUGUCACCACACCUCUGAUCUUGUCACAUCACCCAGUUGAAGUAGAAGUGACCAAGUUGCCUAUGGUGGCUUAUGGGAAGAGAAUGGUAGGGCGAACUGACUGGGUCCUGGGCUCAGCUUGCCCCUAGACACUGGCAGAGGCAAGGAUGUCACACUGUUUAAAGCAGCAAUCCUACUCCUAGAGUCCAGCCCAGUUAGUAUCCUGGAGUGUACCAUGGAUAUGUCCCCUGGUCCCUAGUGGAAAGGGGCCUGAAAGGAUGUUCUGGGAGUAACAGAGGAGAGACUUGGCAAUGGUACCUACUGGGACAAGACACACCAUUAGCCUUGGUUUAAAUAAUUUAGUUAUGUAGUUUUAACAAUCGUGCAAGCCUACCUCUGUCAGAGGUUACUAUCAUCAAAACCCUUGAUAUCUCUGCAUGGUUGUGCCAUCAGAAUUCCAGUUCAUUUCCCCUCUUUUUCCUUAAAGCUCUAAAAUUGGUGCUGAGAAAGCCACUUGGAACAGAUGGUAUUGAAGAUUCCUUUGAAAUGGCCCACUGAGGCCCCAUGAAAACAUGUUCUCCUCACAUGCAGUGCCUCUGUCCCGUGGCACUGUCAGGCGGUGAGGACAAGUGGGUGGGCUGCAUUUCUGGCUGCUAGGAGUAUGACAGCCUCCCAGAAUGUGAUGGCCUGGGGCUGCAAUGGUCUGGCGCUUCAACAUCUUCUACGUGACAUCCAAUGGCUUUCUUUGGAUAUUAGCUGUCACCUUCGGAUAUUAAGCUAUCACACUUUAACCUGUUGAUGACAACAAUCUCUGGGCCGAGAAAUCUCUGGGAAAGUUUUAUAAUCUCAUCUCCCCAGCUUGGGGGUGUCUGUGAAUUUGCCCUGCCCAAGAGAAAGUGGAGGUGUGUAGAAUUUCUCCUUUCCUAUUCCCUUCUGAUACGGCAGGGUUAAUGGAAAGUGUAUCACAAAGGACAUUACACUCCGAGUUAUGUUAAACUGUUAACAAAAGAAAGCUUAUGUGAAUGGCUGGAACAUGAAUGGGUUAAUUUUUCUCACAUAACCAGAUGUUUGGAGGUAGGCGUUUGCUACCUCCUACAGGUUGCUUUAACUGUGAUGGUCAAUCUAUAGACUCUAUCUUUAUGCCCCCCCAAAUUCAUAUACUGAAAUCAACUUCCAGUGUGAUAUUGUUAGAAGGUAGAGCCUUUGAGAGGUGGUUAGGUCAUGGUGUGGAGCCCUUACGAGUGAGAUUAAUACCCUUAUAAAAAGACCAUAGAGUUUCCACUCCCCUUUUGCCACAUAGAGACACAACUAGAAGACAGCUGCCUAUGAACCAGGAAGUAGGCUCUCACCAGACACAAAAUCUACUGACACCUUGUAAUGGUUUAGAUGUAAAAUAUCCUCCAAAAGUCUCAUGUGUUUAGAGAUGGGGGCUUUAGGAAGAUGAUUGGAUCAUGAGGGUGUUGUACUCAUCAGUGGAUUGAUCCAUGGUGAGUUCACAGAUGAAUGUGCUGUUUGGAAAUGGGGCUCAGUUGCAAGGGUGUCACUUAGGGGCAGGACCUGAAAGGGUAUAUUCUUGUUCCUGGCCUCUCCUUUCUCUCUCUGCUUCCUAGCUGCCAGGGGGUGAGCUAUUGGAGGCUGAUCAAUCCUCUGAUCUGCCUAGAAAGAGGGACAAUGAAGUCGAAAGAAAGAAAGAAAGAAAGAGAAAGAAAAGAAAGAAAGACAACAGAGACUUGUUUAAUUUCGUAGUAUAUGGGACGGCUGGAAUUUAGCUCAGUGGCACUGUGCCUACCUCCAAAGUGCAAAGUCCUGAAUUUGAUCCCUGGUACUGAAACAAAAAAUAAACAAACAAGCAAAAAACAUAGCACAUGGGGGACUGGGAGGUCAGUGCCUCAGAGUAGGCAAAGACAAAAGACUCCUGAGCCAGCCAGUAUUUAUUGGGUGUGCACAAUAAUAGGAGGGAGUAUCUAGUGACUUAAGGGGCGGUGGUAAUCUUAUGUUGGUGAGGAUCUUAUGUUGAUAAGGGCAGUAAGGACAGCAUUCCUACAAUAGUAGGUGAGAUGAAAUAGGCUAAUAAAGAAUGUGUCCUUGGGCCGGGGAUUUAGCUCAGUGGUUCUGCCGCCUGCCUAGCAAGCGCAAGCAUCUGAGUUCGAUCCCUGGUACCAAAAAAAACAACAACAAAAAAACCCAAAAAAGAAUAUGUCCUUCUCCCAGGUGAAACCUUUCUUUUUUAAUUAUUACUGCUCAGUUCUCAAAGAACCAGGAUGUCUUCAGCUGAUGUACUUUUGGCCUUGACUGUCACAGUAUCACAGGACCAUUGAGGCCUCAACUUGUGACUGGAGGAUGGCUCCUGACAGUGAGCAGCUUUCUUCCACCAUGCCAUCUGCCAUUGCAUUUCUGCCUUGGAGCCCGCUGACUGUGCAUGGACUGAACCUUCUAAAACCAUGAGCCAAAAUAAACCUAUCCUCCUUCUAAGUUGCAGGUGUUGAGUGUUUUGUCCAAGUGAUGGGAAAGUGACUAAUAUGCACCUUGAUUUUAGACUUUCCAGUCUCCAAUAUCAUGAGAAAUAAAUUUCUGUUGUUUAUAAGCCAGCACUCUACAGCAUUCUGUUUAGCAGGCCACACACACUAAUAUGGUAUUUUCC